This is a non-coding RNA of Pelobates cultripes (western spadefoot toad), 317 nucleotides long. NCBI's taxonomy places the organism in Eukaryota, Metazoa, Chordata, Amphibia, Anura, Pelobatidae. The record is from the annotation of a GenBank genome assembly.
CCCCACCUCCCACCAAGUUGCCUGAAUACAGUAACACACACAGGCACCGGGGACGUGUGUAUCACGAGGCAAACAAGGCAUCUGCCUUGGGCGCCACUUUGCAGGGGGCGGCAAAAAAAAGCAUCCCUCCAAACCCCCAGGCAGAUCCCUUGCUUGCCUCGCAUCCUGGGGGGCUCAAGAGCUGACCGGCUGGCCACUUUUGAGCCCCCCCAAGGCUGGCAGCGGGCAGCGAAGGAGCAUACUCACCUGAGCUCUUCCUGCUCAGCUUCCUCUGCGCCGCUUAAUGAAGCCGGGAGCCAGAAUAUGACGUCAGUCCG